RNAcentral lists this ribosomal RNA (845 nucleotides) under Klebsiella pneumoniae. RNAcentral describes it as "bacterial SSU rRNA". It matches the Rfam family "Bacterial small subunit ribosomal RNA", at positions 22 to 858 of the family's 1533-position model. Lineage: Bacteria; Pseudomonadati; Pseudomonadota; Gammaproteobacteria; Enterobacterales; Enterobacteriaceae. The record is from RNAcentral.
GCUCAGAUUGAACGCUGGCGGCAGGCCUAACACAUGCAAGUCGAGCGGUAGCACAGAGAGCUUGCUCUCGGGUGACGAGCGGCGGACGGGUGAGUAAUGUCUGGGAAACUGCCUGAUGGAGGGGGAUAACUACUGGAAACGGUAGCUAAUACCGCAUAAUGUCGCAAGACCAAAGUGGGGGACCUUCGGGCCUCAUGCCAUCAGAUGUGCCCAGAUGGGAUUAGCUAGUAGGUGGGGUAACGGCUCACCUAGGCGACGAUCCCUAGCUGGUCUGAGAGGAUGACCAGCCACACUGGAACUGAGACACGGUCCAGACUCCUACGGGAGGCAGCAGUGGGGAAUAUUGCACAAUGGGCGCAAGCCUGAUGCAGCCAUGCCGCGUGUGUGAAGAAGGCCUUCGGGUUGUAAAGCACUUUCAGCGGGGAGGAAGGCGAUAAGGUUAAUAACCUCGUCGAUUGACGUUACCCGCAGAAGAAGCACCGGCUAACUCCGUGCCAGCAGCCGCGGUAAUACGGAGGGUGCAAGCGUUAAUCGGAAUUACUGGGCGUAAAGCGCACGCAGGCGGUCUGUCAAGUCGGAUGUGAAAUCCCCGGGCUCAACCUGGGAACUGCAUUCGAAACUGGCAGGCUAGAGUCUUGUAGAGGGGGGUAGAAUUCCAGGUGUAGCGGUGAAAUGCGUAGAGAUCUGGAGGAAUACCGGUGGCGAAGGCGGCCCCCUGGACAAAGACUGACGCUCAGGUGCGAAAGCGUGGGGAGCAAACAGGAUUAGAUACCCUGGUAGUCCACGCCGUAAACGAUGUCGAUUUGGAGGUUGUGCCCUUGAGGCGUGGCUUCCGGAGCUAACGC